RNAcentral lists this ribosomal RNA (467 nucleotides) under uncultured bacterium. RNAcentral describes it as "partial 16S ribosomal RNA". It matches the Rfam family "Bacterial small subunit ribosomal RNA", at positions 28 to 507 of the family's 1533-position model. The record is from RNAcentral.
GACGAACGCUGGCGGCGUGCUUAACACAUGCAAGUCGAACGGAAAGGCCCUGCUUUUGUGGGUGCUCGAGUGGCGAACGGGUGAGUAACACGUGAGUAACCUGCCCUUGACUUUGGGAUAACUUCAGGAAACUGGGGCUAAUACCGGAUAGGAGCUCCUGCUGCAUGGUGGGGGUUGGAAAGUUUCGGCGGUUGGGGAUGGACUCGCGGCUUAUCAGCUUGUUGGUGGGGUAGUGGCUUACCAAGGCUUUGACGGGUAGCCGGCCUGAGAGGGUGACCGGCCACAUUGGGACUGAGAUACGGCGCAGACUCCUACGGGAGGCAGCAGUGGGGAAUAUUGCACAAUGGGCGGAAGCCUGAUGCAGCAACGCCGCGUGCGGGAUGACGGCCUUCGGGUUGUAAACCGCUUUCGCCUGUGACGAAGCGUGAGUGACGGUAAUGGGUAAAGAAGCACCGGCUAACUACGUG